Dipodomys ordii (Ord's kangaroo rat) is the source of this 350-nucleotide unclassified non-coding RNA. Its record names the gene 7SK. It matches the Rfam family "7SK RNA". Rfam says of the family: 7SK was discovered as an abundant small nuclear RNA in the mid-70s but a possible function has only recently been suggested. Two independent studies have found that 7SK RNA binds the CDK9/cyclin T complex (known as elongation factor P-TEFb). P-TEFb activates transcription by phosphorylating the C-terminal domain of RNA polymerase II. Lineage: Eukaryota; Metazoa; Chordata; Mammalia; Rodentia; Heteromyidae. The record is from Ensembl.
GGAUGUGAGGGCGAUCUGGCUGCGACAUCUGUCACCCCAUUGAUCGCCAGGGUUUAUUCGGCUGAUCUGGCUGGCUAGGCGGGUGUCCCCGUCCUCCCUCACCGCUCCAUGUGUGUCCCUCCCGAAGCUGCGUGCUCGGUCGAAGAGGACGACCAUCCCCGAUAGAGGAGGACCAGUCUUCGGUCAAGGGUAUACGAGUAGCUGCGCUCCCCUGCUAGAACCUCCAAACAAGCUCUCUUUCUUUCUUUUUUGGUAAUGGGAAUUGAACCCUGGAUGUUGCACUUGGUAGGCAAGCACUUUGCCACAGAUCUACAUCCCAGCCCAGCAGCAUGUAUCUCUCUGGGACACUG